Molecule: long non-coding RNA, 3016 nt
Organism: Colius striatus (speckled mousebird)
Lineage: Eukaryota; Metazoa; Chordata; Aves; Coliiformes; Coliidae
Exons: 2
Source: RefSeq, a predicted model, not a curated record
GUCCCCCCCCGCGCCCGGCCGGGCUGCCGGUGCCACGCGCGGCCUGGUGCAGAUGGAGCCCGAUAAGAUGGGCAGGACGUGUGAUAACUAAUCGCCGUGUUCUGGCUUUACCAACCCAUGUCUUCUGCAGAACCGUGUGCGCUGCGAACAGAUGAAAUGUGCCUGAGCAGAGCAGUCCGCUCUGCCUUACGCAAGUGGUACGAAUUGUAGGCAGUGCCCUUUUUAUUUCGUUGCAGUGGUGAGAGGCUCCUUUUUCCUAGCAGGGUGAUAAAGCAUCAGGGAAGGGACAAGCCGUGUCACUGUCCUGUGACUCGGGUGUAUCAGCCGUUGGUAUCAGAUGUGUUGCUGGUCCGGGUUGUAUUUUUACAGGAAUGAAUGAUAAUUGAUGAUCACAAUAUCACGCCUAGUUUUAUGGGACUAAACGUGACGGACUGCCCGCCGUUUCUGUGGUAUAGGAGAAGCUGGCAUGAAAGGAUCUCCCGACUGCAGGAGCUGCCAGACAAUUUUAUUACCCAUUGUAUUUGAGUGGCACCAAAUCUAGAUGGCUAUCGUUUGAUUGAAAAGGCAAUUCUUGGGCUGGAGUGGGUGUUUUUAUGAAGGAGAGGUGGCGGUUAGCCCUGCUUGUGUUGGUUUCUAAAGCUGUGAGCGUAGCCUGAUUUAAAAUAGAUAGGGGAGAAGCGAGCCUGGGGCCCUUAAGAUAACAACCAUGAGGUUGGAGGAGGGGAGUCUUUUCCUCCCUGGGUUGUUUUCAUAAGCCUGUACCGGAGGACAAGGCCGGCUGACAGCAGCUCAGCUGCAGGAGUCCCUCGGCACCUCGCUCCCCCAGGCUCCCACGAGCGGAACGUGGCUGUGUGUCUGACCCUCCAGCCUGCCCGGGCUCCCGGCAGCUUCUGUCACCUGGAAGAGGAGCGAGGCCAGCUGGGCUUGCUGUGCCAGCACAGGCACCCCAAAACCUUGGUGGCAGUUACGUGCUUUCAGGGAUUUUGGCACAUCAGGAAGUGUGGUCUGGCCUGUGAGCUGUCCUGCCAUGUCCUGGGUAUGUGGCUGAGAAAACCAGGCUGGGGUCUGGCUGCUGCUUUUGUUGUUGUGUGCCGGCCGAUGUCUUUUGUCCCUGCCUCCUUCCUCUACAUAUGCUGGCGCUUGAACAGAAUGUUAAAGAGAAAUGAAUAGAGGGAGAAAUCCCCUGGACAGAGCAGCACAGCUGCUGUCAGUGCUGCCUGGCUCGGUGCUGGAAGGCAUCUCCGAGAGAGGGGUGCUGCAGUGGUGCUCACAUCCAGCUGGUGCUGCGGACCUGACCUGGUAAAGGGUGGUCCAGGUAAGAAAAGGCAUCUGUCACUCGUCUCCCGAGCUGAAGAACUCCUUGUAAAAGGAAGCCUUUGGUGUCUCCACGAUGGCCCAUGGUGGUCCCACGGAUGCAGUGAUGGCAGCAGCCACUCCUGCGGGGAGCAAUGGACCUGUUGUUCUGUGUGUCACUGCAGGUUGUGAUGGUGCUGGGCAUUGGCAGAACAGCACAAUGAUCACCUGAAAACACGAGACUGCCAGUGGAAACAGGGAGAACGAAGAGGGGAAAAGGGACAGGGUGAGGAGGGAUGUGGAGAGGAACACGGUGGUAUUACACAGCUCGGUGGGCUGCGGUUUCAGUAUGCCAACAGCCUGCACCGUUGUUGAGCCUGUGGUAAACAUCUGCGCAGAGGAGAGCACCAAAAGAGGAGGAUCUCCCCCAGGAAGACAUCUAUUAGUAGGCUUCAUUAGCAGUAAAGCUGGGCAGUGGUUGAGAAAGGCGGAUGCUCUGAGAGGCAUUAAGACACUCAGGGACUUUCUGAGUCACGGACAGCAAACGAGCCGUUGCGUUUAGCCGCUGUCGGGCCGUGUUCUUCAGACGCUGUUCCCAUACAUCUGCCUCUUUGUACCUGCGAGCUGUAAGGAAUGGAGUUUAAUCUGUUAGUUACAACCAGCUGUAAAUCAGAUCAACCUGUGAGUUUUUCACAGCGAGGAUGGCUUUGGCGUGGCACAGGUUGCGGACAGUGGUGGGGGAAUCUGCCUCCUCGGAGAUAUUCAGGAGCCAUCUGGACGUGGUCCUGGACAACCAGCUCCUGCUCGUGCAGGGGACUGGGACAGAUGACCUCCAGAGGUCCCUGCCAACCUCCUGCAGCCUGUGACUCCGUGAAAUAAUAUUUACAUAGGCUGCUGGGAGCUCAGGUGCUCUCACACCGGCUUUAAACACCAGCGUGUUUGAAAACUCGCGCCCGUUCGGAGCUGACAGUGUCUGUGUCCUCACAGAGAGCUCUCCUCAUCCCCUCUGGAGCUGGGUGCCUGUGGCACACUCCUGCUUUGCUGGAUGGCUCGUGUUAAAGGCUCUGCUGUGGCAGCCACGGGUCUCCAGCGCCGGCCUUGGGAGCAGAGAGGAGGGAGCCAAACCAGAAGCACCAGCCUCAGUGACAUCAGCCAUUUCCCCCAGCUUCCAGCGUCGCUCGCUUAGGGAGUUCCUGAACACUGAAUUCUUCAGGAGCUACUGGGUUAAUCUCAUCCAUUUAAUUUACUUUUUAGUUGCCUUUUCCAUAAGAGGAAAGGAAAUACGAUGUCCCUUAGGGAAAUUCCACCUCUGUUUUGGGGAAACCCAGGCAGAAAUGAGAGUCGCUGGGCUGAAGGUGGCCCUGACAAAAGCUUCCACAGGUAUUCCCUUCCCCUUCCUCCGUGUGCCUGGGUGGAAAUAAAGACUUGUGGCUUCUUCUGUCUCGUUUGGUUGAAUAAAUAACGUGUCUUCAGAAAAAGACCCUUGAAGGAAGAGUGAAGAGGUUCAUAAGUGAAAUUGCUCUCUGCAGUUCCAGCAUUCUCCUCAAGUUCUGGUCAAAUUCCAUGAGUUGCAAGUGAAUAAACCGAUAUUACAAGCUUCCUACUGGGAUGACAUUUGUCACGUAUUAGUAAUUGUCAAAAAUGAGCCUGUGUUUGUGAAAAUAUCUUGAUGCAUGAGGUAUAAUUACAUGUACCUUAAAAUAAACAGUUCUGGAUACAGUCA